AUUUAGUAACAGAAGAAAAUUUACAGCUACAGAGUAAGCAUUACUGUGAAAUUAUAUCAUUACACAGUAGUUUUUGCAAUAACACGCAUUAAUUAGAAAGUGAAAUCAAGCAAUACAUAACAGCAACAGUCACUAAAGAAAACAAAGAGCGGAGAACCUGAAUUGCUGCAAACUUGCAUUUCAUAUACAAACAGUGGAUACCAAAAGAUCGCCCAGCUGAUUAAGAUCUGCGAAAGUCAAACUGGUUAUAUUUGAUCUGUUGUCAAUUUAGACAUCCACAUAUCUUUUACAUUGCAUAGACAAUCUCUCCACUGCUAUCGAUAUCGAGGUCAGGAUCACUCUCCAAAUCUUCUUCCAUGUCAUCGUCAAUGUCCAAGCUUCCAGUGAGGUAAUGAUUAAGGCUGUUGGUCCCAGCAGCAGGAAUGGUGGCCUCAGUUAUUAUCUGCAUGAUUUCGUCAAUGCUCUGCAUACGUUGAUCUGGCUCCUCAAACUGGUUGUUUG
Molecule: unclassified non-coding RNA, 501 nt
Filed under: Hevea brasiliensis (rubber tree)
Lineage: Eukaryota; Viridiplantae; Streptophyta; Magnoliopsida; Malpighiales; Euphorbiaceae
Source: RNAcentral